AUAUUUGCUAAAGAUUCAUCGCUGAUAGAUAGGCAUGCGUUCCAUUAGGCAGUUGGCGGGGUAACGGCCCACCAAACCGACGAUGGAUAGGGGUUCUGAGAGGAAGGUCCCCCACAUUGGUACUGAGACACGGACCAAACUCCUACGGGAGGCAGCAGUGAGGAAUAUUGGUCAAUGGCCGAGAGGCUGAACCAGCCAAGUCGCGUGAGGGAUGAAGGUUCUAUGGAUCGUAAACCUCUUUUAUAAGGGAAUAAAGUGCGGGACGUGUCCCGUUUUGUAUGUACCUUAUGAAUAAGGAUCGGCUAACUCCGUGCCAGCAGCCGCGGUAAUACGGAGGAUCCGAGCGUUAUCCGGAUUUAUUGGGUUUAAAGGGUGCGUAGGCGGCCUUUUAAGUCAGCGGUGAAAGUCUGUGGCUCAACCAUAGAAUUGCCGUUGAAACUGGGGGGCUUGAGUAUGUUUGAGGCAGGCGGAAUGCGUGGUGUAGCGGUGAAAUGCAUAGAUAUCACGCAGAACCCCGAUUGCGAAGGCAGCCUGCCAAGCCAUGACUGACGCUGAUGCACGAAAGCGUGGGGAUCAAACAGGAUUAGAUACCCUGGUAGUCCACGCAGUAAACGAUGAUCACUAGCUGUUUGCGAUACACUGUAAGCGGCACAGCGAAAGCGUUAAGUGAUCCACCUGGGGAGUACGCCGGCAACGGUGAAACUCAAAGGAAUUGACGGGGGCCCGCACAAGCGGAGGAACAUGUGGUUUAAUUCGAUGAUACGCGAGGAACCUUACCCGGGUUUGAACGCAUUCGGACCGAGGUGGAAACACCUUUUCUAGCAAUAGCCGUUUGCGAGGUGCUGCAUGGUUGUCGUCAGCUCGUGCCGUGAGGUGUCGGCUUAAGUGCCAUAACGAGCGCAACCCUUGCCACUAGUUACUAACAGGUAAAGCUGAGGACUCUGGUGGGACUGCCAGCGUAAGCUGCGAGGAAGGCGGGGAUGACGUCAAAUCAGCACGGCCCUUACAUCCGGGGCGACACACGUGUUACAAUGGCGUGGACAAAGGGAGGCCACCUGGCGACAGGGAGCGAAUCCCCAAACCACGUCUCAGUUCGGAUCGGAGUCUGCAACCCGACUCCGUGAAGCUGGAUUCGCUAGUAAUCGCGCAUCAGCCAUGGCGCGGUGAAUACGUUCCCGGGCCUUGUACACACCGCCCGUCAAGCCAUGGGAGCCGGGGGUACCUGAAGUCCGUAACCGCGAGGAUCGGCCUAGGGUAAAACUGGUGACUGGGGCUAAGUCGUAACAAGGUAGCCGUACCGGAAGGUGCGGCUGGAACACCUCCUUUCU
RNAcentral lists this ribosomal RNA (1328 nucleotides) under Parabacteroides distasonis. RNAcentral describes it as "bacterial SSU rRNA". It matches the Rfam family "Bacterial small subunit ribosomal RNA", at positions 194 to 1533 of the family's 1533-position model. The record is from RNAcentral. Lineage: Bacteria; Pseudomonadati; Bacteroidota; Bacteroidia; Bacteroidales; Tannerellaceae.